Molecule: ribosomal RNA, 400 nt
Filed under: uncultured bacterium
Lineage: Bacteria
Description: bacterial SSU rRNA
Rfam family: Bacterial small subunit ribosomal RNA
Source: RNAcentral
UGGGGAAUAUUGCGCAAUGGGCGAAAGCCUGACGCAGCGACGCCGCGUGAGUGAUGAAGGCCUUAGGGUCGUAAAGCUCUGUUGAAUGGGAAGAAAAAAAUGACGGUACCAUUCGAGAAAGGACCGGCUAACUUCGUGCCAGCAGCCGCGGUAAGACGAGGGGUCCUAGCGUUGUUCGGAAUCAUUGGGCGUAAAGCGUAUGUAGGUGGCCUUAUAAGUCAGGUGUGAAAGCCCCGGGCUCAACCCGGGAAGUGCAUUUGAUACUGUUUGGCUUGAGUACCGAAGAGGAUAGUGGAAUUCCAGGUGUAGUGGUGAAAUACGUAGAUAUCUGGAGGAACACCGGUGGCGAAGGCGGCUAUCUGGUCGAGUACUGACACUGAGAUACGAAAGCGUGGGGAUC